Molecule: long non-coding RNA, 170 nt
Filed under: Numida meleagris (helmeted guineafowl)
Lineage: Eukaryota; Metazoa; Chordata; Aves; Galliformes; Numididae
Description: lncRNA (ENSNMEG00000021928.1)
Source: RNAcentral
GUUGUAUCAAAGAACUGUCUGCUCAGGAAGAGCAGAAAAAGAUAACAGACUUUUUUGUUUAGCAGCCAUUACCUUGUACCACGGUGUCUGACAGCUCUUUUGUUCAAAAGUAGGAGACUGAUUUUGUAAGGUCAUGCAGAUUUGGCCACUGUUGGUAAAGGGAUGAUAUG